GACGGCCCGGCGGGGGCGCGCGGGGCCCAGUAGCCGGCAGGAAGCGGCCCCGCCCUUCGCGUGCGGCCUUGGGGCCGGGGCGGGAGCCUGGCUGCGCGUUCGCACUUGACCUGCAUCCGGGUUUUCUUGUUCCGCGCAGUAUACCACUCAAACUGGAUUAAACAACAAAUGGAAUUCAUUACCUCAUGUAAUGCAGAAAAGUUGUGGGCUUCAAGCAUGGCUGGAUCUAAGGGCUUAAAAGAGAUACCAGCGUGGACUGCUUCAAUGGGUCCCUAAUUCUCUGGCUUACAGUUGAAUUUAUCCAUAGAAGACAUUGGAAGCGUGCAGAGGAUUGGAGGAGGAUGAAUUUGGGACCUGGGACCUGGGACCCUUUGCUGCAGUACUUGCACCUGGACAAAUAUCUCCUCGACCAGCAGAAUACAAGAAACUAUAAGGAACUAAAAAUAACUGCCCACAUGUGCAGUUGGGGCAAAAUAUGAACAAUGAGCAAGGUCUGAUGGGUGCCACAUGCGUGUGAGCAGAGGAGUUAAAAGCAACGUGUGUGCGGCAUUCUUUGCACAUAGCAUUCCUGACGUCCUCAUCAGGCGUGCUCAAGGCAAAUCCUAGGAAGAAGGCAACGGACAAGGAUCCCCAUCAUGUCCUUCUUACGCGUGUUACUUCCCUGUAUCAGCCUAUCAGACAACCACUUCUGCUGAAAAUGGUGCCCUAGAUGGAAAGGGAAAGCUCAGGCCACCCACAGCUCCUUCUCUUUUUAUUUCUUUACUCAUCAAUAAGCUGAAGGCAGAGAAUGUUGGUAGGAUAUGUGUAUACCCAUUAAGAAAUAAAAACAAUUGAGUUAGUUUUGUGUAGGAUUUCCAUUGUUUGGGUAAGAACACAAUACCUAUUCAUGUACAAGCAAUGAAAUACGAAUUGUGUCAUAUCAGUGAUUUCCAUAUGAGUUAGUGCUCUUAUAUUUGCGUUUAAAAUGGGUAUUGCGGGCUUACCUGGUGGCGCAGUGGUUGAGAAUCUGCC
Long non-coding RNA from Balaenoptera ricei (Rice's whale), 1011 nucleotides. RefSeq lists it as uncharacterized. The transcript has 6 exons. The record is from RefSeq and is a predicted model, not a curated record. Lineage: Eukaryota; Metazoa; Chordata; Mammalia; Artiodactyla; Balaenopteridae.